GUGGCUGUGGCUCAGUGGUAGAGCGCUCACCUAGCAUGUGUGAGGCCCUGGAUUCGAUCCUCAGAACCACA
This 71-nucleotide transfer RNA is filed under the name Marmota monax (woodchuck). It matches the Rfam family "tRNA". Rfam says of the family: Transfer RNA (tRNA) molecules are approximately 80 nucleotides in length. The record is from Rfam by way of RNAcentral. Lineage: Eukaryota; Metazoa; Chordata; Mammalia; Rodentia; Sciuridae.